RNAcentral lists this ribosomal RNA (691 nucleotides) under Teloschistes chrysophthalmus. RNAcentral's name for it is "LSU rRNA". It matches the Rfam family "Eukaryotic large subunit ribosomal RNA", at positions 161 to 870 of the family's 3401-position model. Lineage: Eukaryota; Fungi; Ascomycota; Lecanoromycetes; Teloschistales; Teloschistaceae. The record is from RNAcentral.
UUUGCGGGUGCGGCGUCGGUCUAAGUCUCUUGGAACGGGGCGUCAUAGAGGGUGAGAAUCCCGUAUGUGACCGAUGACCAAGCCUAUGUGAAGCUCCUUCGACGAGUCGAGUUGUUUGGGAAUGCAGCUCAAAAUGGGUGGUAAAUUUCAUCUAAAGCUAAAUACUGGCCAGAGACCGAUAGCGCACAAGUAGAGUGAUCGAAAGAUGAAAAGCACUUUGGAAAGAGAGUCAAAAAGUACGUGAAAUUGUUGAAAGGGAAGCGCUUGCAACCAGACCUGUCCGUGGGUGAUCAACCGUCCUUCUGGGCGGUGUACUCUCCCGUGAUCAGGCCAGCAUCGGUUCGGGCGGCCGGAUAAAGGCCUUAGGAACGUAGCUCCCGUCGGGGAGUGUUAUAGCCUUCGGUGCAAUGUGGCCAGCCUGGACCGAGGAUCGCGCUUCGGCAAGGAUGCUGGCGUAAUGGUUGUAAGCGGCCCGUCUUGAAACACGGACCAAGGAGUCUAAUAUCUAUGCGAGUGUUUGGGUGUUAAACCCAUACGCGUAAUGAAAGUGAACGGAGGUGGGAGCCCAAAAGGGUGCACCAUCGACCGAUCCAGAUGUUUUCGGAUGGAUUUGAGUACGAGCAUGUAUAUUGGGACCCGAAAGAUGGUGAACUAUGCCUGAAUAGGGUGAAGCCAGAGGAAACUCUGGUGG